GCCAGCAUGGUGUAGUGGUCUGAGCGAUGGACUAUGACUCUAGAGACCAGGGUUUGAAUCCCUGCUCAGCCA
Molecule: transfer RNA, 72 nt
Filed under: Phrynosoma platyrhinos (Desert horned lizard)
Lineage: Eukaryota; Metazoa; Chordata; Lepidosauria; Squamata; Phrynosomatidae
Description: tRNA-OTHER
Source: RNAcentral